UGGGGAAUAUUGCACAAUGGGCGAAAGCCUGAUGCAGCGACGCCGCGUGCGGGAUGAAGGCCUUCGGGUUGUAAACCGCUUUUGAUUGGGAGCAAGCGAGAGUGAGUGUACCUUUCGAAUAAGCACCGGCUAACUACGUGCCAGCAGCCGCGGUAAUACGUAGGGUGCAAGCGUUAUCCGGAAUUAUUGGGCGUAAAGAGCUCGUAGGCGGUUUGUCGCGUCUGGUGUGAAAGUCCAUCGCUUAACGGUGGAUCUGCGCCGGGUACGGGCAGGCUAGAGUGCGACAGGGGAGACUGGAAUUCCCGGUGUAACGGUGGAAUGUGUAGAUAUC
This 331-nucleotide ribosomal RNA is filed under the name uncultured bacterium. Its description in RNAcentral is "partial 16S ribosomal RNA". It matches the Rfam family "Bacterial small subunit ribosomal RNA", at positions 355 to 698 of the family's 1533-position model. The record is from RNAcentral.